AGUCCCACUCUGUAAAAAAUCCAACUUGCAAAUUGCUAACUCAAAUCAAAAUUGUAAGUUGGGUGGACAUAUUUUGAGCUCAGUGUUGAGUUUACUUUUAAAAUGAGUUAACUGAAGGUUUAAAACUGGUUUGUUCAAUGAAAGUAAAUACUUAAGUUGAGCAGACUUUACAUUUUGAGUUCUUCACUGGAUCAUCUACUUCCCGUCUUUGCACAUGCUCAGUCUGUCUUCGGGUGCCAUUUUGCACGAGGUGUCCUCUCACCAGCAGCAGCUGCCAUCUCCUGAUUCAGGACACAGAGCCGGAAGAUAUUUGCACAAAAGAGAUGGAGAUGGACAUCCUUAGCACUGUUGAAGAUGAUGUUGCCACUCUUCAGACCAACCUAAAUGUAAGGUGCCUGUCUGUGGUUCUGGAAGAGCAAAUCGUGCUGGAAAAGAUCUUCCGACAGCUGUUGUUCUCCUCUUUGGUUUGAUUAAUUUCCUCAUUAUGAACUACCCCAAAGAACUGAAACACAUCUUUGAAACUAUUCAGAAAGUGUUUAUUGGCCUUGAUCCUCAGUGCUCAGCAAGAGUCCAGUCUUUCAAAAACAAAAUGCAUUGGUUUGUACACUGAAAUUGUGUUACUCUUGGUGUUGUCACGAAACUUAAAUUCAGUUUUGAUUUUACAUUUUCAAAUUUUAAAAACAUCCGUUUCCCACCAAUUGAUUGAUUGGCUGUUGUGUUCAAGCGCUCAACAUAAAUGACUGUGAUUGGCUGAGAAGUUCACCAUUUCACUGCUCAUCACUGAUGUUCAUGGAGUGCAAACACAGAUACACACACACACACACACACACACACACACAAACUGGAGUGUUUCAAAACAUCGCAUAGUCGAUCCAUCAGCGUAACACUUGUAUCAGCUUAUACACAGACCAGUUGAUCAAUGUGAAAUUCUUAAGUGUCCCUGUGUCUGUGGUUACACUCAGUAAACAGCAGUGAGUUUGGUGAACUGAUGAUCUUCACGCCCAAUCAGUGUUUUCUGUUGAGCAUGUGAACACAAUGGCAAUAUAACAGUGUUUAAAACAUGGUCAACAACGCUCAAAUGUUAGCAGGAAAUGGACGUUUUUAAAAUUAUAGAACUGAUGGGUAACACAAUUAAAAUAUCGUGACAAAACUAAUUACUCUCGCACUUUGAAAAAAAUGUUGAUAGUGCAAGCUUUUUAAAUAUUUAUUUUGCUUAACUCGAGCACUUAAAAGGCAAUAUAGGAUUUGAGGAUUUACCUUUUUGUUGCCUCUUUUCCUUCUCUGGACUGCAGUACAUUUCAUUUGGACAGAAAGCUGUUUGCAGAAUUGUCAAUAAAUAUAUUCUUUGAUAUUG
Molecule: non-coding RNA, 1354 nt
Organism: Danio rerio (zebrafish)
Lineage: Eukaryota; Metazoa; Chordata; Actinopteri; Cypriniformes; Danionidae
Source: RefSeq, a predicted model, not a curated record